GUGUGUGUGUGUGUGUGUGUGUGUGUGUUUUGCUAGGAAUUCAUGUAACCUAACCUGGCCUUGACAAUGCUCUGUAGCCAAGCCUGGCCUUGAACUCCAGAUCCUACUUCAACCUCCUAAGUGCUGGGUUGCAUGAGUCCCACACCUGGCUAGAGGUUAGCUUCAUUGCAUUCUGUCCUGGAGCAAGGUGAUGGGCAUGGCUUGCUCACCUUGGACUGAAGGGUGUGGGGUCCUGAGAAAUUCAGGUGGGAAAGCAGAAAAGCCUAGCUGUCUCCUACUCCAUCCACAUUCAAUCCCACAGACAUGGCUAAAGGGGUGUUUUCUAAGAUGCAAACUCUGGGGAUGAAGCCAAUUGAGAUCAAUUUUACAAGGUCCUUUCGAAUUUGGGGGCUUCAUGUGUGUGACACCCAUGGACCAUCCAUGUGUCACCUCCGUGGCCCCUCAAAUUGGUCCAUGGUCCAGCAUCCUUCCUCACGGCCAUUCCAUCUGCCCGAUAGCUAAAGUGCGCUCUCUCGUCUAAAAAUCACAGCACCCUGACUAGUUCACCAGCUAAGUAAGUCCUCAUUUUCCCAUUACUUUAGGACAAACUAGAGACUUUGCAGGUCCAAGGCUUGGACCUGGCUCCCUUGAGACUCCAACAGGGUAAGGAUCACCUUGCACCCAUAUCCUUCCUUCCUCAUUUAGAUUCUUAGCGCCCCUCCCGUUCCUUCCAGUAGCAACAUAGUUCUAAUCAAGGACCUGUCGAUCUGGUCACCUAGUUAUCAUCCCCUUGGGGCUGGUAGAGUGCUUGCUGCUUAAGUGUGAGGACCUAAAUCCACCCCUAGUAACACAUAAAAAGCUGAGCAUGGUGGCACACUUACAACCCCAGAACUAAGGAGGCAGAGACAGAUGACUCUGGCCCGGGGCUCCCUGGCCGGCCAGGCUAGGCUAAUCAGUAAGCUCAAGUGCCCAGUGCAAGACCCUGUCUCAAAAAGUAGCUUUGAGAAAUGACACAUGUGCCUGGCCUCUGACCUACCCAUGUACACACACGUGCACACACGCACGCACGCACGCACGCACGCACGCACAUCUACACAUAUGAACUGAGUAUCUAGUCUCCCCCAGCCUUGUCAGCCAUAUCCCCAGACUGUCCAUCCAAGGGGCCGACAAGUCUCUGAUGCUCACUCCUGUUUCACAGCCCCUGUGGAUGUUAUGUGGAUGACAUUCUAGAGUCAUCAAAAGGUCCCACCAAUACCACCCUCACUGCUCCAUCUGAGUCAGAGAAACCCUCUACACCCACCAGGGUCUCCUGUCCUCAUUUCUGUCUGGCAGGUCAUCCUGAUAUCACAAGAUGGAAGAUGAUCCCAGAGAAAAGACAAGGUCUGACGGGACAUCUGAGGUCUGAUCUGUCUUCAGUGAUUAUACCUAAUUUGUCUACCCCUCUUAGCUCCGUUCAGAUCCCUAUCCCAGCGCUCACUUGGUGUUUGGGGGACCAUGAGCCUCAGAGUUGACGUAAAGAUAGCUCACUGGCUUUUGCAGUAAUCAACACUGAAAGUGUUCAUUCCUUGCCUUGCCGCCAAGGUAAUAAUAAAACUCACAGCCUCAUUACUUGCUUGUUGGCUAAUUCCCUUGUUCUUGUUUUCCUUCCCCUUUUCUCAAAUGAAUUCCUGAGUUCUUCCAGAUUUCUCGUUGCUAAGCUAUAAAGUUCCAGGUUUUGCAGCCUUGCUGCUCAUUGGUGGAGAGUUCCUGGGCUGCUCCAACCAGAAAGAGGCUCCAGAGAAAAGCAUUCACCCUAGGAACUGCGAAAUUUCUAGCAGUUGAUGUCAUUGUAAAGGUCUUUGUCUAGCUCUGUGGAAUCUGCUGUACUCUUGAACUGACUAAGGAGAGACAUAGAGGUUCUAGAAUGUUCCCCCCAGGAAGAUGAGAGACCAUGGAUGGACACUGUGACCUCCUCCCCUGUCCACCUCCCAGCCCGGUCAGUGACAGCAGGAGGCCCAGGAAACUGGUGGCACUGAACUUGGGGCACUUGGAAUGAGGGGUUCAUUUGCAAAGGACCUCUGAAUUCCUAAGCCGAAGUCAUCCCCAGUCCUUUAGCAGUUGGGACAAUAAGGACUGUCACAGGUGACUAUAAAGGACUAUAAAAUGUGUAGAUGGAAGAGCAUUUACCUCAGCAACCAUAACAGCCUGCCUCCUCCCAUUCAGAAGCUGCCCUGGACAUCUGGAGACCAUGAGAGAUGGCUGUGGACUUUAGCUUCCUUCUUUCAGAAAGAAGGAAGUCAUAUGAUCCAGACAGGCUCUAAGAUAGUCACAUGACCCAGAUAGGCCAAUCAGAAUUUUCUCUGAGACUUGCCAGCCAGAGCUAUAGGAGAAGACCUCAUGCACUGCACUGACUGUGAAAUGUGUGGAAGGUAUUUGAGAAUAUAGAAAUCCUUAAAAGAUAUAGAGCCCCUGAGCUCCAGCUGUGGGUAAGCAGAUCUAUGUCUCACAUCUAGCAGUGUGUGUGUGUGUGUGUGUGUGUGUGUGUGUGUGUGUGUUGCUAAGAAACGAAACAUAUAGAUUCACUACAUAGUGCUUGGCUGAAUGUCAGGUGAUGUGCAUACAGUUCAUGUAACGUCCUUGAGAUCACCUAGUGUGUUACUACAUUUUGCAGACUGAGAAACUGAGGAUCUGAAGGGUACAGGAGCCUUGCCCAGGGGACAUUGUCACUGUGUGUUCAGGGAUUCCAACACGUGCUAGCUAAACCUUAGCAAAUUCAACCUGAUGUCUCAUGAUGUAAUGUCACAUGCCCACCUUUGGGAACCUCUUGAGACUUGGUCAACUCCCACUAGGUUCCACCCAGCUCUCAGAUUUUGACAGUUUCCUGCACCCAUCAUCCCAUCAUUUAUUCCCAAUUAUGAGAUGAGUCUGUUGUAGAAGCUACUUCAUUACCAUCUGGACACAGGGUGCCCUCCACCAUGUUAAAAUGCAGUGAGACCAUAUGAAAGCAGAGCAGACACCAUGCUCAUGAGCAUCUCACCUUCCAGGACUAUGAGCUAAAUAAAAAAUUUCUUUUUAAAUAACCUGAGUAUUUUUAUAGCAGCAGAGAGCUGACUGAGGCGGCUAGCUUCCUGUGGGACGAGUGUCGUGAGUGCCGGCAAGCAGGGCACUAAGCAGAAGAUUCUCAGUGACAAGUGGCCAGAGUUCCAGGGUCCUGGGUAACCAGGUCCUCUGCUCCAGUGUCCCCACCGUGGUCCAGACUAUCAGCUGCCACUUCAUUCACCUUCACCUUUGGAUCUGCCCUAGAUGGCUCAUCUUGCCAAACUUCACACUGAAACCACUGCCAGUGAUAUCGUACGAUGUGAGCUUUGUGCAGUUGAGGGGCAAUGUCUUUCCUGUCCUUGCGACUACUCUCUCUAGACUGAGUCAAAUGCCUUGAGAGCUGAUCAUGUGCCUCCUUUUGCCAUUCUUUUUUCUGCUAUGGGAUGAAGAAUUGGGAGGCUCUCUUCUGGACCAUGCACUGGCCUUUCAAACUCUGAGUCAAUUUAAACUUCCUCUCUUAGCUGGGCAGUGGUGGGGCAUGACUUCAGUCCCAGUACUCGGGAGGCAGAGGCAGGCAGAUCUCUGUGAGUCCCUUCUCUUCCUUCUCUUUCAUGUUACAAAGUCUCAGGUAAUAACAGAAAGCAGACUAAGAUAGUCUCCAUCCAGAAACCGGGAUGAUUUCUUCUAUGGAAAACCAGGCUUUGUCACUCCUAUUUUUACCCACAACAACCUCCAUUGGGGGUCUAGUAAGAUCCAAGUUCUCAUCCAGGCCUGGGAGUCCACAUGACCAGACCAGCGCCUGCCAUUCUCUCAUAGCCCACUCUGUUCCUGCACAGAUAGAUACCUAAUCUGUUCCUCUCGCACACAGCUCUUUCCUGACCCUGGGCCUUUGCACAUGCUGUUCUUCUACCUGGAUGCUCUUCCCCUGUGUUUCUGCAGGGUUGAUGCUUUCUGAUUCUGUGUGUCCACAUGAUGGCUUUUGCCCCACCCACAGAAUGGGCACUCCGUAAGGUGAGGACUUUUCCCUUUCCGAAACAUUUGCCAAAGGCGGGCUCUGCAUGUGCUCAAGGCCCAGUGGGCAUUGACCGUUUGCAUGUUUGCUUACAAACGACUACUGGGGUGACCAGGUCCUUAUCUGCACAUAUGGUUCUGAGCCACAUUGAGACAUGAGGCGUUUGCAGCCAUUCUCCACCCCAGCCAAGUUCCCAUGUGGCAGUCUGGAAAGGAGUACACUAUGCAGCCUUCGUGUCUACACGUCCAAACACCGUUUUCUGAGAGCCUGAGAAGAAAUGGAGCCACAGCUGUCACCAGAGCUAAGUCACCUCGGGGCCCUUGGUCCACCACUUGGCAAGACUCUUCCAGAUCUGCAGACUUUCUGACCAAGUCUGAAAGCUCCUGUCUGCACAGAAUAUGUGGGGUGGCCCAGCAGUCACUCAGCAGGUUUGACAGAUAUAGGUGAUGGACGCCUCUCCACACUCCUGAUCCCACCCCACCCCGAGACAGCCAAAGCUGCUUCUUCAUCACACAGGGACUCCUGUCCUGACACAUUCCCGUAGGCUAUGAUGGUCUGUGAGCUGUGCUCCCUCGGGCAAGUCACUCACCCUCUCCAGUCCUCAAUCCCCCUCCCCCAAAAAAAGAUCAGAAGGGGCUGGCAUGGUGGUGCACGCCUUCAAUCCCAGCACUUAGGAAGUAGAGGCAGGAUCUCUGUGAGCUCAAGGCUAGU
Peromyscus maniculatus bairdii (prairie deer mouse) is the source of this 4720-nucleotide non-coding RNA. Lineage: Eukaryota; Metazoa; Chordata; Mammalia; Rodentia; Cricetidae. The record is from RefSeq and is a predicted model, not a curated record.